GACGAACGCUGGCGGCGUGCCUAAUACAUGCAAGUUGAGCGCUGAAGGUUGGUACUUGUACCAACUGGAUGAGCAGCGAACGGGUGAGUAACGCGUGGGGAAUCUGCCUUUGAGCGGGGGACAACAUUUGGAAACGAAUGCUAAUACCGCAUAAAAACUUUAAACACAAGUUUUAAGUUUGAAAGAUGCAAUUGCAUCACUCAAAGAUGAUCCCGCGUUGUAUUAGCUAGUUGGUGAGGUAAAGGCUCACCAAGGCGAUGAUACAUAGCCGACCUGAGAGGGUGAUCGGCCACAUUGGGAAUGAGACACGGCCCAAACGCCUACGGGAGGCAGCAGUAGGGAAUCUUCGGCAAUGGACGAAAGUCUGACCGAGCAACGCCGCGUGAGUGAAGAAGGUUUUCGGAUCGUAAAACUCUGUUGGUAGAGAAGAAAGUUGGUGAGAGUGGAAAGCUCAUCAAGUGACGGUAACUACCCAGAAAGGGACGGCUAACUACGUG
Molecule: ribosomal RNA, 497 nt
Filed under: uncultured bacterium
Lineage: Bacteria
Description: partial 16S ribosomal RNA
Rfam family: Bacterial small subunit ribosomal RNA
Source: RNAcentral